CCUACGGGCGGCAGCAGUGAGGAAUAUUGGUCAAUGGCCGGAAGGCUGAACCAGCCAUGCCGCGUGAAGGUCAGUGCCCUAUGGGCGUUAAACUUCUUUUGUGCGGGAGCAAUAAUGGUCACGUGUGGCCAGACGAGAGUACCGUACGAAUAAGCAUCGGCUAACUCCGUGCCAGCAGCCGCGGUAAUACGGGGGAUGCAAGCGUUAUCCGGAUUUAUUGGGUUUAAAGGGUGCGUAGGCUGUGAGGUAAGUCAGCGGGGAAAUGCCCCCGCUCAACGGGGUGAAGUGCCAUUGAUACUGCCUUGCUGGAAUGCGGAUGCCGUGGGAGGAAUGUGUGGUGUAGCGGUGAAAUGCAUAGAUAUCACACAGAACACCGAUUGCGAAGGCAUCUCACGAAUCCGCGAUUGACGCUGAUGCACGAAAGCGUGGGUAUCAAACAGGAUUAGAUACCCUAGGAGUC
RNAcentral lists this ribosomal RNA (460 nucleotides) under uncultured bacterium. Its description in RNAcentral is "partial 16S ribosomal RNA". It matches the Rfam family "Bacterial small subunit ribosomal RNA", at positions 338 to 795 of the family's 1533-position model. The record is from RNAcentral.